Molecule: ribosomal RNA, 497 nt
Filed under: uncultured bacterium
Lineage: Bacteria
Description: partial 16S ribosomal RNA
Rfam family: Bacterial small subunit ribosomal RNA
Source: RNAcentral
GAUGAACGCUGGCGGCGUGCCUAAUACAUGCAAGUCGAGCGAACAGACGAGGAGCUUGCUCCUCUGACGUUAGCGGCGGACGGGUGAGUAACACGUGGAUAACCUACCUAUAAGACUGGGAUAACUUCGGGAAACCGGAGCUAAUACCGGAUAAUAUAUUGAACCGCAUGGUUCAAUAGUGAAAGACGGUUUUGCUGUCACUUAUAGAUGGAUCCGCGCCGCAUUAGCUGGUUGGUAAGGUAACGGCUUACCAAGGCGACGAUGCGUAGCCGACCUGAGAGGGUGAUCGGCCACACGGGAAGUGAGCCGCCGUCCAGACUCCUACGGGAGGCAGCAGUAGGGAAUCUUCCGCAAUGGGCGAAAGCAUGACGGAGCAACGCCGCGUGAGUGAUGAAGGUCUUCGGAUCGUAAAACUCUGUUAUUAGGGAAGAACAAAUGUGUAAGUAACUAUGCACGUCUUGACGGUACCUAAUCAGAAAGCCACGGCUAACUACGUG